CGCCUUUGGCAUUAAUCGUCUGUUUGAUUGGGUUGUACUUGGGUUAACAAUAACAACAACUAUUACUACAGCAGCAAACAAUCUCCCAUUCGGUGAAGCGAGUCGUUUCACACUCAACUCUCUGCCACCCACUCUCACCCUCAACAUCAGUAGUGGCAAGAACGACAGCAGCAGCAGCAACAACAACAACAACAACAACAACAACAAUAGCAACAACAACAACAGCAGCAAAAAUCAACAGCAACAACAUAACAACAGCAACAACAGCAACAUCAACCGAAUGAGGAGCAGCGGCAAUAACCACAACAGCUUAAAGAUGGCGCCCUUUUUUUCCCCUACAUCUCGGGCAAAAAGGUAAGUUUAAUUCGUUUUGUUUUCUUACGCUGUAAUUAAUGUUUUAAUUAAAGAUAACAAUUAUGAUUUGUUCAACUUUUCAAGUAUCAAUUAAUUUGAUAACUGUUUUACAUUUAAAAAUAUUUAUCGUAGAAAAUUAAACUACCUUCACACAUAACAAUAUAUCUAUCAUGAUGUCUUUGUGCAUUUCGAAGUUAACGGUGAAAAUGAAGCAACCCUGCAAAACACAACUGAUCUUUACACACAGACACACACAGAAUAACAGCAAUCAAAUAACGACAACGGAGUGUCCCGUGUAUGAUAGCUAUGGUUUUGAAUUCUUUUCUUUCGGGGAUCACGACUGGCAAUUUUAGUAGCCAUUUUUUCAAGAUUAGGGAAUGCGGAAUAUAAUUUGUUAAUAGAAAACAAUCUUUUUUAUGUUUUCUCUUUCUUUUUUUUUUUUUAGUUUCGUUUUGGUCUAAGCUAGGUAAUAUGUAGAACUUCUAAACUCACCGAGACUCUGCGCGAAAAAAUAGUGAAAAAAAGCACAAUUCAAUGCAGUUAUACUAAGCAGAAAUCCUUCGCUUCAAAGAGCGACUGGGAAACACAUCUGACAAACACAGCAGCGAAUAAUAAUAAUAAUAAUAAUAAUAAUAAUAAUAAUAAUAAUAAUAAUAAUAAUAAUAAUAACACCAUCCUCAGCCAGUUGUUGAAGGUAAAGAUGUCACCAUCCUCUGGGAUUUUCCAGUCAACACUGACAGAACGAUCAAGGCUAAUCGACCAGACAUAAUUGUUAAAGACAGGGAAGAAAAUACCUGCAGACUAAUAGAAGUAAGCGUCCCCACUGAUAAAAAUGUAUCUGUCAAGGAAUUUGACAAACUUAGUAAAUAUAAGGACCUGGAAAUCGAAAUACAGAGGAUGUGGAAUCUUAAAACAAAAACUGUUCCUGUUAUUGUAGGUGCCCUAGGUAUGAUAAAAAAGGGAUGUCAGAAACACCUAGACAAUAUCCCUGGAAAACCAUGUCUCAAGGAAAUCCAAAAGAUUGUACUAACAAGUACUGCCCACAUCCUUAGAAAAACCCUAUCAAUGUAAAUGUCUGUGUUUGCAUUACAUGGAGAUAUAUCUCUACUUCCCCUCCCCAAGCUUUCAGCUAUAUUUCAACAACUCUUAACCUUCACUUGCCCUAGGGCGCUGGGUGUGCCCCGGCAGGUGAUUGCAUCAAACAUGCAGAUUAAAAGUAAAUGACAAUGAUAAUAAUAAUAAUAAUAAUAAUAAUAAUAAUAAUAAUAAUAAUAAUAAUAAUAAUAAUAAUAAUAAUAAUAAUAAUAAUAAUAAUAAUAAUAAUAACAACAACAACAAUUGCAAACCAAAUUUCGGAAUUGGUUUGCAAAACAGCAAACCAAAUCCGAAAAUAAAUUCGAUGUAAGAGAAAUAUGUAAGUUAAAAGUUAGUUCGAUAUUCCAAAUCAAUAUGUUUACAACUUAACAAUUUCUCUCUCUCUCUCUAUCUCUCUCUCUCUGCCUUCAUCCAUGUUUCACGUCUAAGCAAAGGGAAUAGAAUCUUUGCCUCUGGGAUGAAUUAUCCACCUUUAUGGGAAAAUUAUCGUAACAAACCGCGGGACACCUCUUUCUGCAAUGGUGAGUAGUGAACUAUCUAUUUUCUGCACUUGGUGCUGC
This 2009-nucleotide long non-coding RNA is filed under the name Octopus vulgaris (common octopus). Lineage: Eukaryota; Metazoa; Mollusca; Cephalopoda; Octopoda; Octopodidae. The record is from RNAcentral.